This is a non-coding RNA of Salmo salar (Atlantic salmon), 57 nucleotides long. The record is from Rfam. Lineage: Eukaryota; Metazoa; Chordata; Actinopteri; Salmoniformes; Salmonidae.
AGCUCAGUUGGUAGAGCAUGGCGAUUGCAAUGCCAGGGUUGUGGGUUCAAUUCUCAU